This 459-nucleotide ribosomal RNA is filed under the name uncultured bacterium. RNAcentral describes it as "partial 16S ribosomal RNA". It matches the Rfam family "Bacterial small subunit ribosomal RNA", at positions 338 to 795 of the family's 1533-position model. The record is from RNAcentral.
CCUACGGGUGGCAGCAGUGAGGAAUAUUGGUCAAUGGUCGCGAGCCUGAACCAGCCAAGUCGCGUGAGGGAGGACGGUCCUGUGUAUUGUAAACCUCUUUUGUCAGGGAACAAAAACCGCCACGCGUGGCCUUCCGAGAGUACCCGAAGAAAAAGCAUCGGCUAACUCCGUGCCAGCAGCCGCGGUAAUACGGAGGAUGCGAGCGUUAUCCGGAUUUAUUGGGUUUAAAGGGUGCGCAGGCGGAAGAUUAAGUCAGCGGUAAAAGUGAGAGGCUCAACCUCUGCGCGCCGUUGAAACUGGUUGUCUUGAGUGAGCGAGAAGUAUGCGGAAUGCGUGGUGUAGCGGUGAAAUGCAUAGAUAUCGCGCAGAACUCCGAUUGCGAAGGCAGCAUACCGGCGCUAAACUGACGCUGAUGCACGAAAGUGUGGGUAUCGAACAGGAUUAGAUACCCGUGUAGUC